RNAcentral lists this non-coding RNA (30 nucleotides) under Homo sapiens (human). Lineage: Eukaryota; Metazoa; Chordata; Mammalia; Primates; Hominidae. The record is from RNAcentral.
CGAGAGGUAGCCAGGUCUUGGAAUCUGACA